CACAUAGCUCAGUAGGAUAGAGCACAGGUUUCCUAAACCUGGGGUCAGAGGUUCGAAUCCUCUUGUGGG
Molecule: transfer RNA, 69 nt
Filed under: marine eukaryotic metagenome
Rfam family: tRNA
About the family: Transfer RNA (tRNA) molecules are approximately 80 nucleotides in length. Their secondary structure includes four short double-helical elements and three loops (D, anti-codon, and T loops).
Source: RNAcentral